Molecule: long non-coding RNA, 541 nt
Filed under: Zonotrichia albicollis (white-throated sparrow)
Lineage: Eukaryota; Metazoa; Chordata; Aves; Passeriformes; Passerellidae
Description: lncRNA (ENSZALG00000004003.1)
Source: RNAcentral
UCUUGCAGAAGUAUUAAGUUAGCUGCAUUUGAUCCACUGUGUCAGAGUCUGUUUAUUUUUUCCCCCAGUGACAAAUCCAGAGAACUUCUGUUGGAUCCAGCUAAAGUGUUCUGAAGCUGCAGCAUCUAAGAAGAGGAUUUGCCCACCCUGCAAAAGAUGCCCUUGUAGCAGCCUAUCAUCCUAUCACAGGCGGAACUGACCUUGCACCUUUCACAUUUCUUUCAAAAUUACCCUGCAGAACCUCAGGAAACACUGACCAAGGAGCCAAACUCUGGGGUAUGGGCUGGAAGGACAAAAGCUUUGCAGAUUGUUGCACACCAAGACACAAUGAAAGGCAGCUAAGCAAGGCUUGAUUUUUAUGUUGACAGUCUACUGUAAUUAGAGAGGAAGUAAAUGCUAUUGACUGAUGUGCCACCUGAGAAGAGGGGAGUGAGUCAGUGCGCUGGAGGAAUGGACCUGCACUCCCCUUCAUUCUGAGCCUGAGGAUGAUGGGUGCAAGGUUAGAAUAAGCAAAAGCUCCCCGUUUCUUGCUUCUGUACAA